UGCGAAUGGCUCAUUAAAACAGUUAUAGUUUAUUUGAUAGUCGAUUUUUACUACAUGGAUAACCGUGGUAAUUCUAUGGCUAAUACAUGCGCAAAUACUGUAUAAUCAUAUUUAUUAUGAUUGUACAGUAGUGUUUAUUAGAUACAGAACCAACAGUGCGCCAUCACUUUCUAGUGGUGGUGUCAAAAGAGAAGGUGAUUCAUAGUAACCGAACGGAUCGCAUCAUAUUAUAAUCAUUUCGGUGAUUGGCGAUAGAUCAUUCAAGUUUCUGACCUAUCAGCUUUCGACGGUAGUGUAUUGGACUACCGUGGCAGUGACGGGUAACGGGGAAUUAGGGUUCGAUUCCGGAGAGGGAGCCUGAGAAACGGCUACCACAUCUAAGGAAGGCAGCAGGCGCGCAAAUUACCCAAUCCUGACUCAGGGAGGUAGUGACAAGAAAUAACAACACUGGAAAUUGUAUUUCUAGUGAUUGGAAUGAUGGGAAUCCAAACCCCUUUCAGAGUAACAAUUGGAGGGCAAGUCUGGUGCCAGCAGCCGCGGUAAUUCCAGCUCCAAUAGCGUAUAUUAAAGUUGUUGCAGUUAAAAAGCUCGUAGUUGGAUAUCUGCUGGAAGCAAUCAGUCCGCCCUUUUCGUAAGGGUGUGCACUUGAUGAAUUCUGGCAUGAUUUCAUCCUAAUAAUAAUAUAUUAUUAUAUUAGGUUGAUUCCUAGUAUAAUAAUAUUUAUUAUUAUGGGGAUGACAGUUACUUUGAGAAAAUUAGAGUGUUUGAAGCAGGCUUUUGUUGCCUUGAAUACUGCAGCAUGGAAUAACAAUAUAGGAUUUCGGUUCUAUUAUUUUGUUGGUUUUUUCUGUAGGACUGAAAUAAUGAUUAAUAGGGACAGUUGGGGGCAUUCGUAUUUAACUGUCAGAGG
This 910-nucleotide ribosomal RNA is filed under the name Sarcocystis gigantea. RNAcentral describes it as "SSU rRNA". It matches the Rfam family "Eukaryotic small subunit ribosomal RNA", at positions 88 to 911 of the family's 1831-position model. Lineage: Eukaryota; Apicomplexa; Conoidasida; Eucoccidiorida; Sarcocystidae. The record is from RNAcentral.